This 253-nucleotide ribosomal RNA is filed under the name uncultured bacterium. RNAcentral describes it as "partial 16S ribosomal RNA". It matches the Rfam family "Bacterial small subunit ribosomal RNA", at positions 524 to 776 of the family's 1533-position model. The record is from RNAcentral.
UACGUAGGGGGCAAGCGUUGUCCGGAUUUAUUGGGCGUAAAGAGCGUGUAGGCGGCCAAGUAAGUCUGCUGUGAAAACUCGAGGCUUAACCUCGAGCUGUCGGCGGAAACUAUUUGGCUAGAGUCCGGAAGGGGCGAGUGGAAUUCCUGGUGUAGCGGUGAAAUGCGCAGAUAUCAGGAGGAACACCUAUGGCGAAGGCAGCGUUCUGGGAAGUAUCUGACGCUCAUGUGCGAAAGCUAGGGGAGCGAACGGG